AGAACAUCAAAUGCAGAAGAAAAUGUAAAAAAAUAAAUAAAUAAAAAAAGCGCCUGUUAUAAUUAGAGUUAACAAUGUGUGUAUGGAUGUUGGUGAUGUAUAGUCAAUCAUUCUCUACAUUUCCUGAUUCAGUAGGGUCUUGACAAACAAAUUACAAAAUUGGUAAUUUAUAGCACAAUGCAUUAAAGAUUUCCACUGCAUUAUAUUAGGUGUCCACCAGGCGUCUCCAAAGUGUUCAAAACCUCUCAAGAUACACAAGUAAAUCUGUCACUAUACAACAACAGUUUGUAAUAUUUUUGUUUGUUUGUGAUAAAAUAAAUUAAUGUCUAUGUCAGAGUAAUAUUAAUAUUUUUUUGAUGAAAUGACACACAAAAUCACACGUAUGCGCGCUGUGGGCGCACCUUUGUUUACCAGAGGCAUUUUGGUGACAGCUGUUAGGCAUGCCCCACCCCCAGCCAUUAGGAGACCAAUCAGGGCAAAUUACGUACCAGUGUUUUCGUCUAAGGGUGGACUAUUGGUUGAAAUAGGUGUCAAUCACUUUUGUGACCUUGGAGAAAGGCUAUGACCUGAUUUGAUUGGAUUGGAUUGAUCCAGCGCUCACGUUAUUGGUUCAAAAGACGAUCACUCAAGAAAAAUAGUGGUUUGUGGACCAAUAAAAAACACAGAAUCGACAAGAGGACAUCCUUAGCUUUGUAUUCACGUACAACUUUACGUGAAAACAUUACAUGUGUGGUCGCUAGGAGUUUGAGAAUAUGACGUUGCGGUUGCGCUGAAACUAAACGCAUGUUUGUGAGGAGAAGUGAGCAGGAGAAUAAAGGACUUUAUGGAUAUUUUACCUGCGGUUCAGUGCUGUAUUGUGGAUGCUGUGAUAGUAAGUCCCUGAUAGCAGACUACUCCGAUCCGGAUCCGUUUUACCUCCGGCAGAUCCGCGCUACAGUCAGGUCUGUUUAGUGGAUCUGGUCCGGCUUCACUCCGGGUUCGGGUUAUGAUUGUGACUCACGUUCAGAUCCGUUUUACUGACGGUAAAUCCGCAUAACAGUCCGUCUCAUUUCACGCCUUCCAUAUGACUUCCGCACGGAGUCAGAUACCAGAUGUGAGUUCAGUGUCAGUUCAGUGUCGUUUUGCGGAUCCGGGCCGCAUCGGCGGAGCGGCACAGGAGCGGGAGAAAUUCAAACUCAGCGCGAGGACCAACUGACAUCUGCUGAAUCUGCGCUUCAGGGCUGCUGAGGGCUGGGGACCUGCCAGAUAAGGUGUAAUCAUUUACCCAUCAAAUCACCUAACAAGGAUGAGCCUGGAUCCUAACAGUACUUGCACUGGGCAGUGACAUUAUACAUAGAGUAGUUAAGCAGGAUUUGGUAUCCGCAAAAUGGUUCGAGGUCCGCAGCCCUCGCCUCCCCCAGCACAGAGGAAAACUACCAAGGGCGGUACUCUCAUUAUAGGAGAUUCAAUUGUUAGACAUUUAAAAGUAUCUAAGAGUAAUGGCACAAUUUCAUGUCUUCCAGAUGCUUGCAUGCUGGUAGUCGGCAAGCGGCUCCCUGGGGCGCAUUGCCAAAGCAGGAACCCCGGCACCAUCGCCCUCCACGUGGGGAUGAGCUUUCGGGAGCGACCGGCCCCGUUCCACAGAGACAGGCUUCUCUCUGUGAACAUCGAGGCGGUGCUACGCUGAGACUGACUGUCCUCUACCCAGUCACACCAGCCAAGCUGCACUGUAGUGGUGUUAAGUGUCCAAGAAUGCUCUCAUCAGUGGAGGCACAGCUGGCUGCAAAAAACGUCUGUGUCUGCAUGUUUAUAUUAUGUGAAUUAAAAAUGGUUUUAUUAUUAAAAUAAUUGUAUUAAUGCCUGUUGAUUUAUAAAUUGUUUAAUUGAAAUCAAAUUUUAUUUAAGUAGCUUAAUUAAGUAUUGCAUUUAUAACUGAUGGUAUUUUAUUUAAUUAGCUUAAGUAUUGCAUUUAUAAGUGAUGGUAUUUUAUUUUAAUUAGCUUAAGUAUUGCAUUUAUAAGUGAUGGUAUUUUAUUUUAAUUAGCUUAAGUAUUGCAUUUAUAAGUGAUGGUAUUUUAUUGAAUUAGCUUAAUUAAUAUUGCAUUUAUAAGUGAUGAUAUUUUAUAUAAUUAGCUUAAUUAAGUAUUGCAUUUAUAAGUGAUGGUAUUUUAUUUUAAUUAGCUUAAGUAUUGCAUUUAUAAGUGAUGGUAUUUUAUUGAAUUAGCUUAAUUAAUAUUGCAUUUAUAAGUGAUGAUAUUUUAUAUAAUUAGCUUAAUUAAUAUUGCAUUUAUAAGUGAUGAUAUUUUAUAUAAUUAGCUUAAUUAAGUAUUGCAUUUAUAAGUGAUGGUAUUUUAUUUAAUUAGCUUAAUUAAGUAUUGCAUUUAUAACUGAUGGUACUUUCAUUAAUUAGCUUAAUUAAGUAUUGCAUAUAUAAGUUAUGGUAUUUUAUUUAAUUAGCUUAAUUAAGUAUUGCAUUUAUAAUUAUUGUAUUUCAUUUAGCUAACCUAAUUAAGGAUUGCAUUUACAACUAAUGUUUUUUUAUUAUAUUAUUUAAAUAUUGCAUUUGUAAUUUAAUGUACUGUAUUAAACUCUUUUAAUUUAUCAAUGUAAAAAAGAAGUCAAAUAGCUUAGUGCUCUUUCUUUACUACUUUUAUUUUGAAAUAUGUCAUUAUAAUCAUUAAUAAGUAGGCUGGGGAACGUGAAAAGGCCGUGGCUUGGCCGUAGCUAAUACGGAACUAAUCCGGGGCUGAUCCAGAUCUGGUCCAGAUCUGUAACGGACCUGUUCCAGCGAGUGUAACGGUAAGCGGAUCCGGCCCAUAUUCGGUCUAAAGGAACACCUGAAACGCUUGGUCUGGACUGGUGCUGGCCCAGUAUCUUUUUGACUCCGUAAAAAGGAUCCGUGACGGUUUUGGCCCGUUGUGCAUCUGGACCCCGGCCCAGAACCGUUUUACGGAUCCGGCGCGGAACUUGUGAUAGACUCGGCCCGGAUCCGGCCAGAAUGCUUUUUGCUAUCUGGGG
This is a long non-coding RNA of Astyanax mexicanus (Mexican tetra), 2996 nucleotides long. RefSeq lists it as uncharacterized. Lineage: Eukaryota; Metazoa; Chordata; Actinopteri; Characiformes; Acestrorhamphidae. The transcript has 6 exons. The record is from RefSeq and is a predicted model, not a curated record.